This 484-nucleotide ribosomal RNA is filed under the name uncultured Glomeromycotina. RNAcentral describes it as "SSU rRNA". It matches the Rfam family "Eukaryotic small subunit ribosomal RNA", at positions 596 to 1081 of the family's 1831-position model. Lineage: Eukaryota; Fungi; Glomeromycota. The record is from RNAcentral.
AGCGUAUAUUAAAGUUGUUGCAGUUAAAAAGCUCGUAGUUGAAUUUCGGGGUCAGUAGGUCGGUCGUGCCACUGGUAUGAACUGGUUUUACUGAUUCCUCCCUCUUGAAGAACUGUAAUGCCAUUAAUUUGGUGUUGCAGGGAAUCAGGACUGUUACUUUGAAAAAAUUAGAGUGUUUAAAGCAGGCUUUAGCUUGAAUACAUUAGCAUGGAAUAAUGAGAUAGGACGUUUGAACCUAUUUUGUUGGUUUCUAGGAUCGACGUAAUGAUUAAUAGGGAUAGUUGGGGGCAUUAGUAUUCAAUUGUCAGAGGUGAAAUUCUUGGAUUUAUUGAAGACUAACUACUGCGAAAGCAUUUGCCAAGGUUGUUUUCAUUAAUCAAGAACGAAAGUUAGGGGAUCGAAGACGAUCAGAUACCGUCGUAGUCUUAACCAUAAACUAUGCCGACUAGGGAUCGGAUGAUGUUAAUUUUUUAAUGACUCAUUC